Molecule: non-coding RNA, 73 nt
Organism: Araneus ventricosus
Lineage: Eukaryota; Metazoa; Arthropoda; Arachnida; Araneae; Araneidae
Source: the annotation of a GenBank genome assembly
AGCCACCAGUAAUGAUUGAACUCACGACCGUUGAUUUCCGAGACCAGAGCUCUUAGCAGUGAGCUAUGGUGGC